GGUCUGAGAGGAUGAUCCGCCACACUGGGACUGAGACACGGCCCAGACUCCUACGGGAGGCAGCAGUGCGGAAUAUUGGACAAUGGGGGGAACCCUGAUCCAGCCAUGCCGCGUGUGUGAAGAAGGCCUUAUGGUUGUAAAGCACUUUAAGCGAGGAGGAGGCUACUUUAGUUAAUACCUAGAGAUAGUGGACGUUACUCGCAGAAUAAGCACCGGCUAACUCUGUGCCAGCAGCCGCGGUAAUACAGAGGGUGCGAGCGUUAAUCGGAUUUACUGGGCGUAAAGCGUGCGUAGGCGGCUUAUUAAGUCGGAUGUGAAAUCCCCGAGCUUAACUUGGGAAUUGCAUUCGAUACU
This 354-nucleotide ribosomal RNA is filed under the name bacterium LimB-100-J-186. Its description in RNAcentral is "bacterial SSU rRNA". It matches the Rfam family "Bacterial small subunit ribosomal RNA", at positions 289 to 634 of the family's 1533-position model. The record is from RNAcentral.